This 457-nucleotide ribosomal RNA is filed under the name uncultured Thauera sp. Its description in RNAcentral is "bacterial SSU rRNA". It matches the Rfam family "Bacterial small subunit ribosomal RNA", at positions 923 to 1382 of the family's 1533-position model. Lineage: Bacteria; Pseudomonadati; Pseudomonadota; Betaproteobacteria; Rhodocyclales; Zoogloeaceae. The record is from RNAcentral.
GCACAAGCGGUGGAUGAUGUGGAUUAAUUCGAUGCAACGCGAAAACCUUACCUACCCUUGACAUGUCUGGAACCUUGCUGAGAGGCGAGGGUGCCUUCGGGAGCCAGAACACAGGUGCUGCAUGGCUGUCGUCAGCUCGUGUCGUGAGAUGUUGGGUUAAGUCCCGCAACGAGCGCAACCCUUGUCAUUAGUUGCCAUCAUUUGGUUGGGCACUCUAAUGAGACUGCCGGUGACAAACCGGAGGAAGGUGGGGAUGACGUCAAGUCCUCAUGGCCCUUAUGGGUAGGGCUUCACACGUCAUACAAUGGUCGGUACAGAGGGUUGCCAACCCGCGAGGGGGAGCUAAUCCCACAAAGCCGAUCGUAGUCCGGAUCGCAGUCUGCAACUCGACUGCGUGAAGUCGGAAUCGCUAGUAAUCGUGGAUCAGCAUGUCACGGUGAAUACGUUCCCGGGUCUU